CGUCUAUAUACGUAUAGCAUAUCAAUAAGCGGAGGAAAAGAAACUAACAAGGAUUCCCUUAGUAACGGCGAGUGAAGCGGGAAGAGCUCAAAUUUGAAAUCUUCAAGGCUCUACCUUGACGAAUUGUAGUUUAAAGAAGUGUUUUCUGUUAGAGGAGUAGCAAAAGUUCCUUGGAAUGGGACAUCAUAGAGGGUGAGAAUCCCGUAUUUGGUUAUUCUUUCUAGCUUUGUGAUACACUUUCAAAGAGUCGAAUUGUUUGGGAAUGCAGUCCAAAAUGGGUGGUAAAUUUCAUCUAAAGCUAAAUAUUGGCGAGAGACCGAUAGCGAACAAGUACCGUGAGGGAAAGAUGAAAAGAACUUUGAAAAGAGAGUUAAACAGUACGUGAAAUUGUCAAAAGGGAAGCGUUUGACACCAGUGUUGUUUUUCCGAAAAUCAAUUAAGAGUGGCUUGAUUUUGUGUUGUAUUGACCUUAUCAGCUUUCUUCACUCUUUUACGAGUCUUUCUUAAUGCACUUUUCGGUUAACAAGUCAGCAUCAAUUUCUUUUGUUGUAAAAGGGUAUUUGGAAGGUGGCUUUCUUUUCGGAGAAAGUGUUUAUAGCCUUAUACCUCUACAAUCGGAGAGAUUGAGGUCUGCAGCGUAGAUCCUUCGGGGCUAGAUACACUUGUGCUAAGUUAUAGCUUUUCAUAGACAACUUGUUGACUAUGUUUAGUCAUGUAGCUUACCCGCUUGUGCUAUUUUACCUACGCUUAGGAUGUUGAGUCAUCACACAUCUCU
This 775-nucleotide ribosomal RNA is filed under the name uncultured Neocallimastigales. RNAcentral describes it as "partial large subunit ribosomal RNA". It matches the Rfam family "Eukaryotic large subunit ribosomal RNA", at positions 26 to 618 of the family's 3401-position model. Lineage: Eukaryota; Fungi; Neocallimastigomycota; Neocallimastigomycetes; Neocallimastigales. The record is from RNAcentral.